Phragmites australis (common reed) is the source of this 1368-nucleotide long non-coding RNA. RefSeq lists it as uncharacterized. The record is from RefSeq and is a predicted model, not a curated record. NCBI's taxonomy places the organism in Eukaryota, Viridiplantae, Streptophyta, Magnoliopsida, Poales, Poaceae. The transcript is spliced from 3 exons.
CAUCUUUAUUGCUAUUCAUCUUGAUCUUCUUAAUAUAUGCUUUUUAUGUUCGAUAGGUGUUUACGCAAAAAAGUACUUGUAGUGCCUAUCACGUAUUCUGUUUUGUAGGACAGACUAAAGAUACCACAUUUCCUAUUGUUGUCCAGGUAUGCAAGUUUAAAGAAUUGCAGUGAAGUGGUUAGUAAGCAUAGUCUGAAGCCUGGGUGAAUUUUCACGUUGAAAUUGUUAGCCCUUCACUGGUAGACAGACCUAUAGUUGCUUGCAUUCAAUAUAGGAAUAUGGUUUAUGCUACAUCAUUUGCCUUAUCUUUGCUUAAAGAGAUCGAUCAUGCACGUCACUUGAUUGUUUCCUUCCAUAUAUUCAUCUAAAUUUUCAACAAUUGUUUUAAUAAAAUUUGUGACCUUGAAUGUUGUAGUGUGUUCCAUUCUCCAUGAGUAUAUCCACAGUUUUGUGUUUGUUUUGGCUUAUGUGGAAUAUUGAGAUGAUUCCUCAAAAUUGGAAAGACUAAAUUGGUACCUUUAUAGCUCUUAUCAUUGAACUACUAAAUAACACAAAAAUAAUAAACAACUGCAAUGGAAAAUGAUUGACUUACAACCAUCCUUUAGAUUGUUGCCUUGUACUAAGUAAAAUGUAAAGGUGGGCAUGAACAUGUUUUUGUAACAACGAAUAGAUUUGUUUCUUGUUGAUUUGAUGCCUCCAGGCAUGAGCAAUGGAGCAUUUUAAAAGUAUAAAUUUUACCUUCUUCAAGUGUUCAUUGUUCAUUUCCUCCAUGGAUCCUCGGAUCUGCUAUGCUACACCUUUUACCACUGCUCAACUUAACAGUGUGCCUGCUCCAUUAAUGUUAUUUUUUUCUUCCUUUUUCAUUCCUAGAUUCCGAGUAGCAUGAUAAAUAAAAAGAGGUACAGCACUAGGAGCCUUUUGGACAUAAUCCGAUUGAAAAGAACGGCAAAAAUUAGCUGGUUGAUGUUUUCUUUCCACCCCAAUUCAGCAAGCUGCUGGUACUCCAAACAUGAGGGAAGGUGUGUCAAGGUUGUCUCCAAAAGGACAUCCAAAGCAUCGAGUUGGCCAAGACACAGAGGUUGAAGAUAAACAAGGAUCUGUGCGCAAGUAUUUACUCAAGGAUGGAGAACCAUCUGGUCACGUCUCAAAUGUUUCUUGUCCUGUGUCUAUUGUCGUCGUGCAUCUUUUUUUCCCCCCAACUGCGCUGAAAUGAUUACAUGAAGGGACGUCCACAAUGAAGUAGAUGUUCCCAUUCAAGAAGUGACGAUUUUGGAACUAGACGGUAACGGAAGUCUUCCUCACUCUACAACUUUGUAGGUAGUAAUUAUGCAACUAGACAUAAUGUUGUCCCGCCCUCCAAAGUGGAUU